This 72-nucleotide transfer RNA is filed under the name Marmota monax (woodchuck). RNAcentral describes it as "tRNA.Ala". Lineage: Eukaryota; Metazoa; Chordata; Mammalia; Rodentia; Sciuridae. The record is from RNAcentral.
GAUGUUGUGGCUCAGUGGUAGAGUGAUUUCCUAGCAUGUGGGAGGCCCUGGCUUCUAUCUUCAGCACCAUAU